RNAcentral lists this ribosomal RNA (434 nucleotides) under uncultured Ruminococcus sp. RNAcentral describes it as "partial 16S ribosomal RNA". It matches the Rfam family "Bacterial small subunit ribosomal RNA", at positions 341 to 792 of the family's 1533-position model. Lineage: Bacteria; Bacillati; Bacillota; Clostridia; Eubacteriales; Oscillospiraceae. The record is from RNAcentral.
ACGGGAGGCAGCAGUGGGGAAUAUUGCACAAUGGGGGAAACCCUGAUGCAGCGAUGCCGCGUGGAGGAAGAAGGUUUUCGGAUUGUAAACUCCUGUCUUAAAGGACGAUAAUGACGGUACUUUAGGAGGAAGCUCCGGCUAACUACGUGCCAGCAGCCGCGGUAAUACGUAGGGAGCGAGCGUUGUCCGGAAUUACUGGGUGUAAAGGGAGUGUAGGCGGGAUUGCAAGUCAGAUGUGAAAUACAGGGGCCCAACCUCUGGGCUGCAUUUGAAACUGUAGUUCUUGAGUGAAGUAGAGGUAAGCGGAAUUCCUGGUGUAGCGGUGAAAUGCGUAGAUAUCAGGAGGAACACCGGUGGCGAAGGCGGCUUACUGGGCUUUUACUGACGCUGAGGCUCGAAAGCGUGGGGAGCAAACAGGAUUAGAUACCCUGGUA